RNAcentral lists this ribosomal RNA (304 nucleotides) under Escherichia coli. Its description in RNAcentral is "bacterial SSU rRNA". It matches the Rfam family "Bacterial small subunit ribosomal RNA", at positions 471 to 774 of the family's 1533-position model. The record is from RNAcentral. Lineage: Bacteria; Pseudomonadati; Pseudomonadota; Gammaproteobacteria; Enterobacterales; Enterobacteriaceae.
GACGUUACCCGCAGAAGAAGCACCGGCUAACUCCGUGCCAGCAGCCGCGGUAAUACGGAGGGUGCAAGCGUUAAUCGGAAUUACUGGGCGUAAAGCGCACGCAGGCGGUUUGUUAAGUCAGAUGUGAAAUCCCCGGGCUCAACCUGGGAACUGCAUCUGAUACUGGCAAGCUUGAGUCUCGUAGAGGGGGGUAGAAUUCCAGGUGUAGCGGUGAAAUGCGUAGAGAUCUGGAGGAAUACCGGUGGCGAAGGCGGCCCCCUGGACGAAGACUGACGCUCAGGUGCGAAAGCGUGGGGAGCAAACA